RNAcentral lists this ribosomal RNA (238 nucleotides) under uncultured bacterium. RNAcentral describes it as "partial 16S ribosomal RNA". It matches the Rfam family "Bacterial small subunit ribosomal RNA", at positions 118 to 348 of the family's 1533-position model. The record is from RNAcentral.
UGAGGAACAUGACCUUCGGCGGGGGAUAGCCGGCCCAACGGCCGGGUAAUACCGCGUACGACCACAUGGGGACAUCCCCGAGUGGUGAAAGCAGCAAUGCGCCGAUGGAGUGCCUCGCGGCCUAUCAGCUAGUUGGUGAGGUAACGGCUCACCAAGGCGACGGACGGGUAGCUGGUCUGAGAGGAUGGCCAGCCACAUUGGGACUGAGACACGGCCCAGACCUCCCGUAAGGGGACGG